AUGCAUCAGCUGAUUCUAAUGGGAAUAUCAAAAUCCAGGGGAGACCUUCAAAUUUGUCCUGAAAUAGAGCGACUGGAUUCGUAUGGCCCUGUUUCAAUCAGUUGUCUUCAGGCUGCACUAGGAGGCCUUAGACGAGGUGGCUCUCUUUAGCAGAGAGUAAUUUGCAGAGAGGGCUCACAUCUGAGAGCUAUCUGACAGCAGCACUUCCAGCAGCUAGGAGAAUAAUUCCUUCAUGUUAAAGGUCCAGGUAGGAAGAUUUAAAGCUCUGGGUAAGGUUGCACAAGACUGCAUCCACUAUAUUUUAUCCUUUGUGCCGCUUGGAUCCACUUGCUUCAUAAAAUUUCUGGGAACAGAUCCAUCAGGAUUCUGGUGGACCUCAUUUCCCAGAGGAAAUGUGUAAAAGGAAGUUUAGUGGGAUUAACUAUAGCCUCUCCCACUGAAGCCAGGCACUUGCUCACAACUGAUGCUCAUCAUCUCCAUCCUCCACUAUCCAUUCAAGAUUCCCCUCACCUUUGGCUAGGAGCUCAACUUGUUUAGGAGGUUUAUUUGGUGACAGAACAAAGAACCUCAUACCUGAAGUUCCUGAUACCCUGGUAACCAUGCUAUGGUUUGCAUGCGGCUGCAACACUCAUUCUUUAACUGAUUAUCUGCUGUGUUUUCUCAUUACUUUAUAAAGCAAGUACUGAUUGGGUGAAGAAGGAGUUGUCUCCUACCCGUUGCGAUUCCUGUAAUAUGCUCACUCUUUGGGAAAAUGAUCUUGGAACCAGCGACUCCCGAUGCCAUGUGUGAAUCAUAGCACUAGGAGAUUCCCAAUACCUUAUCCCAAGAGAGAAUCACUGAUAUGCAUACAAAUGUUUAUUGCUCCCCAAUUUUUACAUAAAUUGAAGCAGAACUCAACAUAGUAUUCUUCACCGUGUUUUAUUCUCUUGGCAAUAUUGGGAGCUGUGGAGAUAGGACUUUAGAUGGUCCUGAAUUCCUAUCAUCUUACUUGGGAUGGCCAGAUCCCCGAGAUGACUGGAAGUGAUGUUUGAUUCAGACAAUGUGGAAUCCCCGGGGGAAGUCUUUUGUUAAUUCGUGUGUCCUGUGAGAUAAAAAUGGUUGGUGAUCAGUUGUGAUUUUGCUAAGCCGGCUCAUCAGUUUUGGGAUGCAAGAUCCCAGGAAGUACCGAGUGGUUUUAAGUGAUAAAAAAUAUUAGUGAACCAAUGUCUCAAAGGUGAUAUCACCGCUGGAAACACCAGGAGACCUAAGCUGAAAUCCAAAAGAGCCUGGAAAUAUACAUCGUAAAGAUUUCCUGCAUAAAUAUCAUUUGCGCAACAAAACCAGGACAAUUUUCUGUGGAGGUAGAAGAAAAGGAACCAUUAGGAGAAUAUCCAGCAAACACGUUUUUCAGUUUGUAUUUGUCUUGGACUAAUGUCAUGAUUCAUUUAUGGAUCUAACAUGAUAUUUAAUAUUCUUUAUCUCAGUUCAACUUUUAUUGUGUUUGCUUCUGGUCUACUUUGGAAAAUGACUGAUUUUGUUUCUUAUAUCAACUCCUGUCCAGUUUUACUAGCACUGUAAAAUGGCAUUUUAGUUUCAGCUAUGUCUCAGAAAUGAAAACAAUAAUUUCUUAAUUGGUAGGAUUUCAAUUUCCCAAAACAACUGAUCUGAAUCAUGCUUUUUAAAGCAUUUUUUCCUACAAAGCUACUUAUCCAAAUAAAGAUAUUUUGUAGUUCAAUUUUCUGACAUGUCUGAAUGCUGGGAGCAAGAAAAAGAAAUACAAUUGAACAAAUUGAGGCACAAUUUUUGUUUUGUUUUGUUUUAGUGAAAAUCUUAUACAAACUUGAGAGAAGGACAAAUAAUUUACCAAAUCAUUAUGGCAGUAUUACAUUUUUUGGAAUUGUUUAUAAUAACCUUAUAUGACAUUAUUCUAGUUUGGAUAUAGUUGUAAUAGGUUUUUACACAGGCAUAAUAUAGUAAUUUAACACAACAAAAAAGAAUAGAGAAGACAAAUAGAAAGAGAAUAUUUAGAUACAUUUUACAUAUCAUUGAUAUGCUACAUGCAAACAUAAAUUCUAUAAUGGAAAAUUAGUCAAGGAGUAAGAGUAAGAAAUUCAAAACAGGUGAUAUCCAUAAUUGAGGAUAAUUAGGACAGAAUUCGUCUGAGUAGGGCGGCCCAAACUUCUGUUGGCUCUUGUGCUAAAGUGGCUGUUUCAGAUCUACAAAGAAGUGAGAUGCAGUUUUAUGCCAUCUGAAGCUAGAGUUUAUUAACAUAAUCUUUCUCUGGUUAAAAAAUAUUCAAUUCUACCGCUAUGAUUUUAGGGAGCUAUACAGUUUCAUAGGAGUUAACGAUGCAAAAAAUCACAAAACAUAUACUUUCAUGUAUGAGGAAAAAGCAGGGAAUAGGUGGGACCACUUAUUUAAGGAAUGCUGAUUCCGACUGCAGUGCAAGAUUUGAAAUCGUUUAUUAUUUCCUAGAUAAGAAAGUCACAGUUUCAGGAAAGUGUCUUUGGAAAACAAAGAGUACAUUUAGAUUAAUGAAAAAAGGAACGAGGGGUCAGCUCCAUGGUGUAGUGGUUAAGUUCAGCAUGCUCUGCUUCUGUGGCCUGGGUUCACAAGUUGGGAUCCUGGGCAUGGACCUACACCCCUCAUCAGCCAUGCUGUGGUGGUGACCU
Long non-coding RNA from Equus caballus (horse), 2651 nucleotides. The record is from Ensembl. NCBI's taxonomy places the organism in Eukaryota, Metazoa, Chordata, Mammalia, Perissodactyla, Equidae.